Molecule: long non-coding RNA, 245 nt
Filed under: Bos taurus (domestic cattle)
Lineage: Eukaryota; Metazoa; Chordata; Mammalia; Artiodactyla; Bovidae
Description: long non-coding RNA NONBTAT015452
Source: RNAcentral
CUGACUUUGAAUUCAAAUAUUUACAGGGGCCCAAGAAGGAUGCCACAGGGUUAAAUCAAAGCGCAAACCAAUCCGCCGCUUGCUGGGACUGGCACCAAGGUGUGACGUGCUGCCUGAAGGCAGACAGAUGUGCGUGAAAAACCGAGGAGGACUGGACGCAGCCACAGUACUGGCUCCAAGUACCUGGGGUCUGGGAGGUACCUAGCUCAUCGAUUCAAAGAUGGAGACAGAUUCCGAGCUGGAUC